This 246-nucleotide ribosomal RNA is filed under the name uncultured bacterium. RNAcentral's name for it is "partial 16S ribosomal RNA". It matches the Rfam family "Bacterial small subunit ribosomal RNA", at positions 87 to 334 of the family's 1533-position model. The record is from RNAcentral.
UAUGGCGACCGGCGCACGGGUGAGUAACACGUAUCCAACCUGCCGAUGACUCGGGGAUAGCCUUUCGAAAGAAAGAUUAAUACCCGAUGGCAUAGUUCUUCCGCAUGGUAGAACUAUUAAAGAAUUUCGGUCAUCGAUGGGGACGCGUUCCAUUAGGUUGUUGGCGGGGUAACGGCCCACCAAGCCUUCGAUGGAUAGGGGUUCUGAGAGGAAGGUCCCCCACAUUGGAACUGAGACACGGUCCAA